GACGAACGCUGGCGGCAUGCCUAAUACAUGCAAGUCGAGCGAACAGAUGAAGUGCUUGCACUUCUGACGUCAGCGGCGAACGGGUGAGUAACACGUAAGGAAUCUACCCAUAAGCGGGGGAUAACAUUCGGAAACGGGUGCUAAUACCGCAUAAUAUCUUCUUCCGCAUGGAAGAAGAUUGAAAGACGGCUCUGCUGUCACUUAUAGAUGACCUUGCGUUGCAUUAGUUAGUUGGUGGGGUACUGGCCUACCAAGACGAUGAUGCAUAGCCGACCUGAGAGGGUGAUCGGACACAUUGGGACUGAGACACGGCCCAAACUCCUACGGGAGGCAGCAGUAGUGAAUCUUCCGAAAUGGGCGAAAGCCUGACGGACCAAUGCCGCGUGAGUGAAGAAGGCCUUCGGGUCGUAAAACUCUGUUAUAAGAGAAGAACAAAUUGUAGAGUAACUGCUACAGUCUUGACGGUAUCUUAUCAGAAAGCCACGGCUAACUACGUGCCAGCCGCCGCCGUAA
Molecule: ribosomal RNA, 513 nt
Filed under: uncultured bacterium
Lineage: Bacteria
Description: partial 16S ribosomal RNA
Rfam family: Bacterial small subunit ribosomal RNA
Source: RNAcentral